GAUAAAACCAGAACCUUGAAUUAAGUGUAUUUCCAUUCCCUGAGAUCCUGGCGAGCUGUGCAGUUAAGAAACCGAGGUUAAGGGGAAGAAGAACAGAACAGAUAGAAUAAAGGACGGUGUGAUAUGAAAGUCCAGGCAUCAUUGCACGAAAUGGCAUUCCCAUACACUUGUCAGGGCUCAGAAGUUUUAUUACCAAGGAAUUUCACUUCUGCCUCUUAUUCUUAACACACUGCCCAGCGCUGGGCCUGAGAGGAUUUGCUGAUCUAAUAUAGAUAGCGAUUUUGUAGGUUUGUUGAGAUUUAUAUAGACAGCACCUUGGGAUCAGGAAUUACAUUUUAAAAUGUAAUAAAAUGCUCCUUGGCAUUUUUUUUCUAAAAAAAACUUACAAAUACCCGUACUUAAAAAAGUAAACAUCAAAUAAUCUCUGAUAUCUUUCAAGAAAAUGUUGACAUAGCUCAAGGAGCUUCAACCAGAUCCCCGAGUCGUUUGCUAGAGUCAACUUAAUAAACUCAUUUUCUUCAUCCUGCCAUGAAGUUGCCUAUCCCUGGGAAGAUGGAAAGGUCCUGCCAGAAGGGGUCGCUGCGGCGCACAGAUUUCAAAGCUAGAUACGUGAAGGGGAAGAGGAAGAUGCUUUGGAAACAGAACUAAAGGAGAGAGAUAUUUGGUCUCCUGAAGACCUGAAAACUGUCCUCGGUGAAAACAACAACAACAACAUGUCACUCAUCACCUCCUCGUAUAGUCAGAUGGAACAAUGCUGAAGGUCUCAUCUAACACACUUGUAUAGGAGGAAAAAGCUUACCUGU
Molecule: long non-coding RNA, 803 nt
Organism: Lacerta agilis (Sand lizard)
Lineage: Eukaryota; Metazoa; Chordata; Lepidosauria; Squamata; Lacertidae
Exons: 3
Source: RefSeq, a predicted model, not a curated record